UCCAGACUCCUACGGGAGGCAGCAGUGGGGAAUAUUGCACAAUGGGGGAAACCCUGAUGCAGCGACGCCGCGUGAGUGAAGAAGUAUUUCGGUACGUAAAGCUCUAUCAGCAGGGAAGAAAAAAGACGGUACCUGACUAAGAAGCCCCGGCUAACUACGUGCCAGCAGCCGCGGUAAUACGUAGGGGGCAAGCGUUAUCCGGAUUUACUGGGUGUAAAGGGAGCGUAGACGGCAAUACAAGUCGGAAGUGAAAUACCCGGGCUUAACCUGGGAACUGCUUUGGAAACUGUGCAGCUAGAGUGCAGGAGAGGUAAGUGGAAUUCCUAGUGUAGCGGUGAAAUGCGUAGAUAUUAGGAGGAACACCAGUGGCGAAGGCGGCUUACUGGACUGUAACUGACGUUGAGGCUCGAAAGCGUGGGGAGCAAACAGGAUUAGAUACCCCCGUA
This 446-nucleotide ribosomal RNA is filed under the name uncultured bacterium. RNAcentral describes it as "bacterial SSU rRNA". It matches the Rfam family "Bacterial small subunit ribosomal RNA", at positions 330 to 792 of the family's 1533-position model. The record is from RNAcentral.